UAACUGGGCGUAAAGGGCACGCAGGCGGUGACUUAAGUGAGGUGUGAAAGCCCCGGGCUUAACCUGGGAAUUGCAUUUCAUACUGGGUCGCUAGAGUACUUUAGGGAGGGGUAGAAUUCCACGUGUAGCGGUGAAAUGCGUAGAGAUGUGGAGGAAUACCGAAGGCGAAGGCAGCCCCUUGGGAAUGUACUGACGCUCAUGUGCGAAAGCGUGGGGAGCAAACAGGAUUAGAUACCCUGGUAGUCCACGCUGUAAACGAUGUCGAUUUGGGGGUUGAGCUUUGAGCUUGGCGCCCGUAGCUAACGUGAUAAAUCGACCGCCUGGGGAGUACGGCCGCAAGGUUAAAACUCAAAUGAAUUGACGGGGGCCCGCACAAGCGGUGGAGCAUGUGGUUUAAUUCGAUGCAACGCGAAGAACCUUACCUACUCUUGACAUCCAGAGAACUUUCCAGAGAUGGAUUGGUGCCUUCGGGAACUCUGAGACAGGUGCUGCAUGGCUGUCGUCAGCUCGUGUCGUGAGAAG
RNAcentral lists this ribosomal RNA (522 nucleotides) under uncultured bacterium. RNAcentral describes it as "bacterial SSU rRNA". It matches the Rfam family "Bacterial small subunit ribosomal RNA", at positions 551 to 1074 of the family's 1533-position model. The record is from RNAcentral.